RNAcentral lists this ribosomal RNA (1021 nucleotides) under uncultured prokaryote. RNAcentral's name for it is "bacterial SSU rRNA". It matches the Rfam family "Bacterial small subunit ribosomal RNA", at positions 52 to 1058 of the family's 1533-position model. The record is from RNAcentral.
CAUCUGCAGUCGAGCGAUGAAGAGGAGCUUGCUCCUCUGAUUUAGCGGCGGACGGGUGAGUAACACGUGGGUAAUCUGCCUGUAAGACGGGGAUAACUCCGGGAAACCGGGGCUAAUACCGGAUAAUAAGAAGAAACGCAUGUUUCUUUUUUGAAAGUCGGUUUCGGCUGACACUUACAGAUGAGCCCGCGGCGCAUUAGCUAGUUGGUGAGGUAACGGCUCACCAAGGCGACGAUGCGUAGCCGACCUGAGAGGGUGAUCGGCCACACUGGGACUGAGACACGGCCCAGACUCCUACGGGAGGCAGCAGUAGGGAAUCUUCGGCAAUGGGCGAAAGCCUGACCGAGCAACGCCGCGUGAGCGAUGAAGGCCUUCGGGUCGUAAAGCUCUGUUGUUAGAGAAGAACAAGUACGAGAGUAACUGCUCGUACCUUGACGGUACCUAACCAGAAAGCCACGGCUAACUACGUGCCAGCAGCCGCGGUAAUACGUAGGUGGCAAGCGUUAUCCGGAAUUAUUGGGCGUAAAGCGCGCGCAGGCGGUCUCUUAAGUCUGAUGUGAAAGCCCACGGCUCAACCGUGGAGGGUCAUUGGAAACUGGGAGACUUGAGUGCAGGAGAGAAAAGUGGAAUUCCACGUGUAGCGGUGAAAUGCGUAGAGAUGUGGAGGAACACCAGUGGCGAAGGCGGCUUUUUGGCCUGUAACUGACGCUGAGGCGCGAAAGCGUGGGGAGCAAACAGGAUUAGAUACCCUGGUAGUCCACGCCGUAAACGAUGAGUGCUAGGUGUUGGGGGGUUCCACCCUCAGUGCUGAAGUUAACACAUUAAGCACUCCGCCUGGGGAGUACGACCGCAAGGUUGAAACUCAAAGGAAUUGACGGGGGCCCGCACAAGCAGUGGAGCAUGUGGGUUUAAUUCGAAGCAACGCGAGAACCUUACCAGGUCUUGACAUCCUUUGACCACUCUAGAGAUAGAGCUUUCCCCUUCGGGGGACAAAGUGACAGUGGUGCAUGGUUGUCGUCAC